This 676-nucleotide ribosomal RNA is filed under the name Stylocellus sp. Peninsula 22. RNAcentral describes it as "eukaryotic LSU rRNA". It matches the Rfam family "Eukaryotic large subunit ribosomal RNA", at positions 1272 to 1896 of the family's 3401-position model. The record is from RNAcentral. Lineage: Eukaryota; Metazoa; Arthropoda; Arachnida; Opiliones; Stylocellidae.
UAAGGAGUGUGUAACAACUCACCUGCCGAAGCAACUAGCCCUGAAAAUGGAUGGCGCUUCAGCGUCGAGCCCAUACCCGGCCGUCGCGGCUGUAGGUACUUGUGCUUUAUGUCGCGACGAGUAGGAGGGCGCAGGGGUGUGCGUUGAAGGUGCCGGGCGCGAGCCCGUCUGGAGCCGCCCCUGGUGCAGAUCUUGGUGGUAGUAGCAAAUACUCAAGUGAGAACCUUGAGGACUGAGGUGGAGAAGGGUUCCAUGUGAACAGCAGUUGAACAUGGGUCAGUCGGUCCUAAGGGAUAGGAGAAAUCCGUUCCGAAGCGGGACCUUCCUCUUUUUAAUGUUGGUCCCGCCGCAGACCGAAAGGGAAUCGGGUUAAUAUUCCCGAACCCGGACAUGGAGAUCGACCCCUCACGGGGUCCAGUGCGGUAACGCAAACGAACUCGGAGACGUCGACGGGAGUCCCGGGAAGAGUUGUCUUUUCUUUGUAAGGGCUCGGCUCCCUGGAAUCGGCUCGCCCGGAGAUAGGGAUGCUGUACCCGUAAAGCACCGCGCCUCUUGCGGUGUCCGGAGCGCUCCCGUCGGCCCUUGAAAAUCCGAGCGAGAGGUUGUGAUUUUCGUGCCGGACCGUACCCAUAUCCGCAGCAGGUCUCCAAGGUGAACAGCCUCUAGUCGAUAGAAC